GAAGAAAGCUGGCGGCGUGCUUAACACAUGCAAGUCGAACGGAAAGGCCCUGCUUUUGUGGGGUGCUCGAGUGGCGAACGGGUGAGUAACACGUGAGUAACCUGCCCUUGACUUUGGGAUAACUUCAGGAAACUGGGGCUAAUACCGGAUAGGGGCUCCUGCUGCAUGGUGGGGGUUGGAAAGUUUCGGCGGUUGGGGAUGGACUCGCGGCUUAUCAGCUUGUUGGUGGGGUAGUGGCUUACCAAGGCUUUGACGGGUAGCCGGCCUGAGAGGGUGACCGGCCACAUUGGGACUGAGAUACGGCCCAGACUCCUACGGGAGGCAGCAGUGGGGAAUAUUGCACAAUGGGCGGAAGCCUGAUGCAGCAACGCCGCGUGCGGGAUGACGGCCUUCGGGUUGUAAACCGCUUUCGCCUGUGACGAAGCGUGAGUGACGGUAAUGGGUAAAGAAGCACCGGCUAACUACGUG
RNAcentral lists this ribosomal RNA (468 nucleotides) under uncultured bacterium. RNAcentral's name for it is "partial 16S ribosomal RNA". It matches the Rfam family "Bacterial small subunit ribosomal RNA", at positions 28 to 507 of the family's 1533-position model. The record is from RNAcentral.